Molecule: ribosomal RNA, 253 nt
Filed under: uncultured bacterium
Lineage: Bacteria
Description: partial 16S ribosomal RNA
Rfam family: Bacterial small subunit ribosomal RNA
Source: RNAcentral
CACGUAGGGGGCAAGCGUUGUCCGGAUUUAUUGGGCGUAAAGAGCGCGCAGGCGGUCGAUUAAGUCGGAUGUGAAAGCCCCCGGCUCAACUGGGGAGGGUCAUUCGAUACUGAUCGACUUGAAGGCAGGAGAGAGAAGUGGAAUUCCCGGUGUAGUGGUGAAAUGCGUAGAUAUCGGGAGGAACACCAGUGGCGAAGGCGACUUCUUGGCCUGUUCUUGACGCUGAGGCGCGAAAGCUAGGGUAGCAAACGGG